Non-coding RNA from Jatropha curcas, 2199 nucleotides. The record is from RefSeq and is a predicted model, not a curated record. NCBI's taxonomy places the organism in Eukaryota, Viridiplantae, Streptophyta, Magnoliopsida, Malpighiales, Euphorbiaceae.
AGAUUAAUUUCCAAAAGAAAGAACCAACCUUCGCCUUCCGUCCUCACGACUAGCCACUUGAAAAUUCUAAAGCCACAUCAACAUGCAUUUCAUAACUACUGCGCUGUCAUAAACUCCAAAAUUAUUUUUCUAUUCCCAUCUGUCUUGUCGCAGAGUUGUGUUGUCUGGAUUUUUAUCGUCAUAAUUGUCGCCGGGAAAAUUUCUCUGGAACGUAGCCGUCGACAUGGCUGACGAGUUCGAGACCAGUGUGGACUUCGGUUUGAAGCUUUCUAAGAGAAUUUACUAUGGGAAGGGAUUGCCUCCGGCGCCGGUACUUGGAAUGUCGAAGUCAUCGGAGAGUUUCUUACCGACGGCGCUCAUGGUUUAUGCGGUGAUUCCAGAGCCAGAGGUAGUAGACAAUCCUGACGUGCCAAGUUACCAGCCUUACGUGCACGGGCGGUGCGAACCGCCGGCGUUGAUACCAUUGCAUAUGUACGGAGUAGCUAUGGAAGUUGGAAGUUGAAAGUUGUUUGGAUCAUGCAAACGUUAGUUUUAGCGGGAACUGGCGCGUGCAUUGCAUUAAGGCGAGUAGCAAGUGUGAUUGCCGCAUCGCCAUUCCUAUGGGAGACCAGGGUUCAAUUCUAGGUCUCUUGGAAUUUGGUCAAUCCCCAUUGGCCAAAAAACUUCGAGAGAGGAAAAGAUUUACUGUUAAGUGUGAAAACUUCAGUGUGUUUGGCAAAGAAAUUUAUGCAAGAGUACUUAGCCAUGCUCUUAAAGGUCUUCUUCAGAGGACUUAUUUGUUGGCUCGCAGGAAGGAUGUGAUCUUUAUAAUUGAUAUGAGUGGAAGCAUGAAGGGGGAUCCUCUUGAGAAUGCAAAGGGUGCAUUAGUAUCAUCACUUUCUAAACUCAAUUCUGGAGAUUCUUUCAACAUUAUUGCUUUCAACGAGAAGACCUACUUAUUUUCACAAUUAAUGGCUCCUGCAACGCAGGGAUCAAUAUCAAAAGCUACUCAGUGGCUUAGUGAUAAUUUAAUUGCAGAUGGCGGAACAAAUAUUUUGGAUCCUCUUAAACAGGCUAUGAAGCUGUUGGCUGAAACUACUGAUUCAAUGCCUCUUAUUUUCCUCAUCACUGAUGGCGCAGUUGAAGAUGAAAGAGAUAUUUGCAAUUUUGUAAAAGGCUCUCUCACAGGUGCAGGACCAAUUUCUCCUCGGAUAUGUACAUUUGGCAUUGGUACAUAUUGCAACCACUAUUUCUUGCAAAUGCUAGCACAAAUUGGAAGUGGUUAUUUUGAUAGUGCAUAUGAUGCAGAUUCGGUUGAUUUUCGAAUGCAGCGAUUAUUUGCAACUGCUUCAUCAGUCAUUCUAGCCAAUAUAACUGUGGAUGCCUUGGAACAUCUUGAUUCACUUGAGGUUCUUCCAUUUAGAAUUCCGGAUCUCUCAAGUGGCAUGCCAUUGCUUGUAUCAGGCAGAUAUAAUGGAAACUUUCCAGAAUCAAUUAAAGUUAGUGGUAUCUUGGCAGACAUGAGCAAUUUCACAAUAGAAUUGAAAUCACAAAAGGCUAAGGAUGUGCAACUUGAUAGAGUGCUUGCAAGGAGACAAAUUGACAUUCUCACAGCUAAUGCAUGGAUGUCAGAAAGCCAGGACCUUGAGCAACAGAUUGCGAAAAUGAGCAUUCAAACUGGGGUUCCAUCUGAAUACACCCAUAUGAUUUUGCAUCAGACUGAUACUGGGGAGAAAGCAACAGAAAAAAUUCUGAUGCAGGAGGUAUUCAACAAAAUUAAUUCACUUAGACAAGUGAACUCGGAAAUCCAGAAGGUCAUUUUCUUGGGGAACCUCGGUGUUGGCUUUGGAGACUUGGCUGCGACAGCAUCAAACAUUCCUCCAGGAACAGAUGAAAUAAAGUCACCUGAAGCUACAGAAGUGCUAGUUAAUGCUGCCUCCAAUCUGCUCGAUCGAUUCUGUUGCAUGUGCUUCAUUCAGACUUGCUCACGUAUGAACAACCAAUGUUCUAUAGCUCUCUCACAACUUUGUGUAGCCCUAGCCUGCUUCGAAUGCCUGAACUGUUGUUAUGAGCUUUGCGAAUGUGGAUAAAUUUGGAUAAAUUAUGAUGUAAAAAUGGUUGUUUAACAUGUAAAUUAAGGUGCAGAAACUGUAAUGUGAACUACUGUUCUGUUGUAAUGGAAGUUAGAAAAUCUGAUGAUGUUGAGCAUGUGAAGAAUUA